GAUGAAGAACGCAGCGAAAUGCGAUAAGUAGUGUGAAUUGCAGAAUUCAGUGAAUCAUCGAAUCUUUGAACGCACAUUGCGCCCCUUGGUAUUCCAUGGGGCAUGCCUGUUCGAGCGUCAUUUGUACCUUCAAGCUUUGCUUGGUGUUGGGCGUCUUGUCUCUAGCUUUGCUGGAGACUCGCCUUAAAGUAAUUGGCAGCCGGCCUACUGGUUUCGGAGCGCAGCACAAGUCGCACUCUCUAUCAGCAAAGGUCUAGCAUCCAUUAAGCCUUUUUUUUCAACUUUUGACCUCGGAUCAGGUAGGGAUACCCGCUGAACUUAAGCAUAUCAAUAAGCGGAGGA
This 342-nucleotide unclassified non-coding RNA is filed under the name soil metagenome. Its description in RNAcentral is "partial contains 5.8S ribosomal RNA, internal transcribed spacer 2, and large subunit ribosomal RNA". The stretch from base 1 to 120 matches the Rfam family "5.8S ribosomal RNA", at positions 35 to 154 of the family's 154-position model. The record is from RNAcentral.